CCUACGGGUGGCAGCAGUGAGGAAUAUUGGUCAAUGGGCGCUAGCCUGAACCAGCCAAGCAGCGUGAAGGAUGACUGCCCGAUGGGUUGUAAACUUCUUUUAUCUGGGAAUAAAGUCUAGUAUGUAUACUGCUUUGCAUGUACCUUAUGAAAAAGCAUCGGCUAACUCCGUGCCAGCAGCCGCGGUAAUACGGAGGAUCCGAGCGUUAUCCGGAUUUAUUGGGUUUAAAGGGAGCGUAGGCGGGUUGUUAAGUCAGUUGGGAAAGUUUGGGGCUUAACCGUAAAAUUGCAGUUGAUACUGGCAUCCUUGAGUACAGGAGAGGUAGGCGGAAUGCGUGGUGUAGCGGUGAAAUGCUUAGAUAUCACGAAGAACUCCGAUUGCGAAGGCAGCCUGCUGGACUGUAACUGACGCUGAUGCACGAAAGUGUGGGUAUCAAACAGGAUUAGAUACCCCAGUAGUC
Molecule: ribosomal RNA, 460 nt
Filed under: uncultured bacterium
Lineage: Bacteria
Description: partial 16S ribosomal RNA
Rfam family: Bacterial small subunit ribosomal RNA
Source: RNAcentral